GUGAAGUUCAGGAAGUCACUU
This 21-nucleotide non-coding RNA is filed under the name Arabidopsis thaliana (thale cress). Lineage: Eukaryota; Viridiplantae; Streptophyta; Magnoliopsida; Brassicales; Brassicaceae. The record is from RNAcentral.